ACAAACACAAUGAUGAGAAGAGUAAGGUUGGGCGUCACCCACAGCGAGGUGCGAAUUGGUGAAAGCACUGCUGGCAAGCAACCUGAAGAUGAUCUCUAAGUGGCCGUGAUCGAGCUAAUUGGUUAGACACGACUGGGUGCGCCCAUUACAGCGCCAGGGUAUCAGGUUUGUGCACAACCUGGCACCUGGCGAGGGUGUAGCUGUGAAGUUACACUAAAUUAAGGUGGUAACACGGAAAAUCCGUCCUUGGU
RNAcentral lists this non-coding RNA (251 nucleotides) under Furfurilactobacillus siliginis. RNAcentral describes it as "Lactobacillus siliginis T-box sequence". It matches the Rfam family "T-box leader". Rfam says of the family: Uncharged tRNA acts as the effector for transcription antitermination of genes in the T-box leader family. T-boxes are found upstream of many aminoacyl-tRNA synthetase genes and some amino acid biosynthetic genes usually in Gram-positive bacteria. The record is from RNAcentral. Lineage: Bacteria; Bacillati; Bacillota; Bacilli; Lactobacillales; Lactobacillaceae.